GACGAACGCUGGCGGCGUGCUUAACACAUGCAAGUCGAACGGAAAGGCCCUGCUUUUGUGGGGUGCUCGAGUGGCGAACGGGUGAGUAACACGUGAGUAACCUGCCCUUGACUUUGGGAUAACUUCAGGAAACUGGGGCUAAUACCGGAUAGGAGCUCCUGCUGCAUGGUGGGGGUUGGAAAGUUUCGGCGGUUGGGGAUGGACGCGCGGCUUAUCAGCUUGUUGGUGGGGUAGUGGCUUACCAAGGCUUUGACGGGUAGCCGGCCUGAGAGGGUGACCGGGCAAAAUGGGACUAGGGGAGGGCCCAGGGGCCAAGCGGGGACAAGGGGUGGGAAAUUUUGCAAAGGGGGCGGAGGGAUGGUGCAAAGCCGCGGGGUGGGAAAGGCGGGCUUUGGGGUAGAAACCCGCUUCGCCUUGUAAAGAGGGGGGAGGACGGGAAUGGGAUAAGAAGGAACGGGUAAACAAGUG
RNAcentral lists this ribosomal RNA (468 nucleotides) under uncultured bacterium. Its description in RNAcentral is "partial 16S ribosomal RNA". It matches the Rfam family "Bacterial small subunit ribosomal RNA", at positions 28 to 507 of the family's 1533-position model. The record is from RNAcentral.